Molecule: ribosomal RNA, 434 nt
Filed under: uncultured fungus
Lineage: Eukaryota; Fungi
Description: SSU rRNA
Rfam family: Eukaryotic small subunit ribosomal RNA
Source: RNAcentral
UUUAGCAUGGAAUAAUAAAAUAGGACGUGUGGUUCUAUUUUGUUGGUUUCUAGGACCGCCGUAAUGAUUAAUAGGGACAGUCGGGGGCAUCAGUAUUCAAUUGUCAGAGGUGAAAUUCUUGGAUUUAUUGAAGACUAACUACUGCGAAAGCAUUUGCCAAGGAUGUUUUCAUUAAUCAGGAACGAAAGUUAGGGGAUCGAAGACGAUCAGAUACCGUCGUAGUCUUAACCAUAAACUAUGCCGACUAGGGAUCGGACGGUGUUAUUUUUUGACCCGUUCGGCACCUUACGAGAAAUCAAAGUGCUUGGGCUCCAGGGGGAGUAUGGUCGCAAGACUGAAACUUAAAGAAAUUGACGGAAGGGCACCACCAGGGGUGGAGCCUGCGGCUUAAUUUGACUCAACACGGGGAAACUCACCAGGUCCAGAAAUCUAGA